GAGGUUGUAAAAAAGAAAGGUUAUUAGGACAUGGGGAUAGUGGACCUGUUUAAAAUAGUUCUUUUGGCUGAUUCCAAACUUCAUUAUCAAGAUAUCAACAGCUCAACCUGCUAGCAAACCACAAAACAUGGAUCAGUAGAUUCAGUCCAGUUCAAUUGGCAGACAUCACACACGAACCAGCCAUGUCAGCUCGAUCUGAGUAAACUUCCAGGCUCCAUCUGAUUGGCUCCAGUCCACAGAAGCUGCAAGAAGCUGCAGGAAUAUCACAAGAAGGUCUUUGGAGAGUAACUCUCUAUGAAGUCACAACAAGAGAAUAUCAGAAACUCCAUGUAAGGCAAACCAAUAAGUGAGAAUCAUCUGUGAAUUCUAGUGUGCUGGAGCAAGGCAAACCACUGCCAGAGCCUCCUCAUACUGUCUCUGGGUUCAUAUUCAUGUUCUUUCCAAGCAUCAUGUGUCCUCUCACCUGUAUCAGCUUCACAAAACAGUUAUGAUGUAAUCGAGUCUCCAGAAAUUUCCAGUUCAAGAGGGAUUUUCUCUUUGGGCUUGGAGGAACCCAGGCACAGCAUGCUGAUCUGGUGAUCUCUGUCUGAGCAAGCUUUCCAGUGCUUGCUUUCUCAUAUCCCCGACGUCUAAACAGGAGAGGGGGCAGCCAGACCUGCUGUACAGACUGCUUGCACUGCAGCCUGCCUGAGACUGGGACAUAGAUGGCUCCGAAGUGCAGAUGCUGCAGGUCCUUCUACAGUUAACUCCUCCCUGCAAAAAAAAAAAAAAGUUGGCGAGUGCUGCAGUGUCCUGAAUCGAACACCAGAGGGAGGCAAAGGCACAAGAAGUUCCAGUUCAGAAGGAUCCUGUUGCAGCGUCGUUCUUCCUGGCCAGUCGAGUGCACGCAAGAAGAGCAAAUCCUAGAUACUGCUCUAGGCAAUACACACCUUCUCCUGGACUGGAUAACGGUUGUGGGAAAUACUAAAAUGAACAAGUUCCUGUGCUUCACCCCACUACUCUGCCCUGUGGUCUCCCAACCAGUUCUUAUCUCAUGGAGACUCUGACUCAGAGCUCCAAAAGCUCUCCACCCAGCUCAUUAAACCUGUGCUUUGCCUCUCUAUCUUUCUCUCAUGAACCCAGACGAGCUGACCUGUGAAGGAAAACACAAUACAAAGUUAGUUCAGAAACUACAGUAACUCAAUUGCUGGGCACAACAACUAAAAUCCUAAUCUUGUAAGCCUUAUUAAAUCUAAAUCCUCCAGUGGCGAAUCCUGGCAGAUCCGCCAUUGAAACAGGGAGACACUAGCAGCUACUUCUUGUCUUCACUCUAUCUCCAUCCAAAAGGAUGACACCCCCCUUCCUCUCUUCCCCUACCUAACCUGGAAGUCCCUUCUACUUGCCCAGUGAUUGAUUGGCUCCUUUAUCCAUUAGGGGAUGGUUUACAAGAAGUUACCUGAGUACUUGACUCACUCCUCAUCUGCAACCCCUCCCAAGAAAGCGAAAUUAACAUCUAAAUUCAAGCAGCACUAGUCCCAUCCAGAACAGGUAACCACCGCCUAGAGAUAAGCAUUUCCAUCUUUUGACCUU
RNAcentral lists this long non-coding RNA (1569 nucleotides) under Mus musculus (house mouse). RNAcentral's name for it is "predicted gene, 39117". The record is from RNAcentral. Lineage: Eukaryota; Metazoa; Chordata; Mammalia; Rodentia; Muridae.